UCGGGAAUUUUGUGCAAUGGGCGAAAGCCUGACACAGCAACGCCGCGUGAAGGAUGAAGUCCCUCGGGAUGUAAACUUCGUAAGAAUAGGAAGAAUAAAUGACGGUACUAUUUGUAAGGUCCGGCUAACUACGUGCCAGCAGCCGCGGUAAUACGUAGGGACCAAGCGUUGUUCGGAUUUACUGGGCGUAAAGGGCGCGUAGGCGGCAAUUCAAGUCAUCUGUGAAAUCUCCGGGCUUAACUCGGAACGGUCAGAUGAUACUGCUUUGCUAGAGUGCAGAAGGGGCAAUCGGAAUUCUUGGUGUAGCGGUGAAAUGCGUAGAUAUCAAGAGGAACACCUGAGGUGAAGACGGGUUGCUGGGCUGACACUGACGCUGAGGCGCGAAAGCCAGGGGAGCAAACGGGAUUAGAUACCCUGGUAGUCCCUGAGCGGGCUGGCAAGGCGCAU
RNAcentral lists this ribosomal RNA (447 nucleotides) under uncultured bacterium. Its description in RNAcentral is "bacterial SSU rRNA". It matches the Rfam family "Bacterial small subunit ribosomal RNA", at positions 355 to 825 of the family's 1533-position model. The record is from RNAcentral.